Molecule: ribosomal RNA, 253 nt
Filed under: uncultured prokaryote
Description: partial 16S ribosomal RNA
Rfam family: Bacterial small subunit ribosomal RNA
Source: RNAcentral
ACAGAGGUCUCGAGCGUUAGGCGGAAUCACUGGGCUUAAAGCGUGUGUAGGUGGAUGCCUAAGUACCUUGUGAAAUCCCACAGCUUAACUGUGGAACUGCUUGGUAUACUGGGUGUCUUGAGUCACUCAGGGGCGAGCGGAACAGACGGUGGAGCGGUGAAAUGCGUAGAUAUCGUCUGGAACGCCGAAGGUGAAAACAGCUCGCUGGGGCUGCGCUGACGCUGAGACACGAAAGCCAGGGGAGCGAACGGGA